AUUGACGUUUGUGCCGCUAGACGCGGGCGAGCAGCGGAAAGGGAAACCUGGCGAAGGCUGGCCCACCGUCUGCUGUCCGCGCGUUCCCGGGCCUCAGAAGGGGCCCGCCAAGGGGGCGAGAGCGCGCCGCAGGGGCGGGGCGGGAGCGACUAGUCGGGCGUUUCGCGGCCCCGGGGCUGACGAGGCGGCGCGGGCAGGCUGCGCGGCUCCCGUGGGAGGAGUCUGGCGGUGGUCGGGCCUUGUGGAGAGUGCAGCUGCGCCCAGAGAGGACGCUGCUUUCCGCUCAGGACGGACUGACCGAGGGAGGGCGCGAGGGGAAACCGGAAGGAAGGGGAGGCGGCGGCGCCAGCCUUCCUCGGAGGGAAGCAGAAGCGAGACCCCGGCCCUAGCCGCGGCAGCAGGGCCACGCCCCCGCCGCCGCGCUUGAGGGGCCCAGUGUCUUCGUGGCCACCGGCCGCAUCGGAUCCCAAUCCUCGGGACUGAGGGACUCGGGGUGGGUUUUUUUUCCCUCCUUCCCGCUGUGUUGUGAAUUUUUGCCUGAAUUUGAGUGGUAUGGACUUCAAAUCUCGCAAUUUUACUCCAGAGGACCCACAGAACAUAAGAUGUUGCCACAAAAUCUACCUCGUGUGUUAUUCUCUUCCACUCAUGAGUUG
This is a long non-coding RNA of Mesoplodon densirostris (Blainville's beaked whale), 653 nucleotides long. RefSeq lists it as uncharacterized. The transcript is spliced from 3 exons. Lineage: Eukaryota; Metazoa; Chordata; Mammalia; Artiodactyla; Ziphiidae. The record is from RefSeq and is a predicted model, not a curated record.